GAAGCAGAGCCCAAAGGAAGCAGCUGCAUGUUGCUGAUGGGAGUCCAGAGCACAUCUUUUCCAUGAUACUCAUGAGGCCCCAGACCAAGCAGUUCAGGGAAUAAGAUUUUUCCCUUCUGCUUCCUCAUAUCAAAGCUUGUAAUUCAACAUUAUGUUCUGCCACGGAUCUGAACAAGGGUGAAGUUUAACUGGUUCCAUACUGCAUCUCCUCCAGUCAGUCAAGGGUUUAGCCUGAGCCUGUUUGCAAAUAAAUCAAUGCAACAGAAGACUUUUCCCUUAAAUACAUUUAAGUCGGAGCUGUAAAAAAAAAAAGUGAGACAUCACAGAACCCAUUCAAAACAGCCUGUAGAGCUAAUGUUUUCUUUUUUUUUUUUUUUUCCUUUUUUUACCCUUUUUUUUUUUUUUUUUUUUCAGAAAGAAAUGAGGCUCAGAGAAACACCUAUGAAAUGUAAUUGUACAUGACAGCCCAUGUCAGAGUUCAGCAAUGAAAACUGAAUUUCUUCAAAGAUGUGCUGCUGCAGACUCUGCAGAACUAAGACAAAAAAAAUGAGUAGAUAUGGUGCAUCAUGGAUAUGGACCAGGAAAGAAUCUGAGAAGGAACACCUUGGCAAAACUGCCUUGCAUUAAACACCAAAGCCUUGAAGAGCUAUGUGAUGUUCUGAAAUGAAAAUUCCUCCAUACCAAACGGAUGAUUUAUUCUAAUA
RNAcentral lists this long non-coding RNA (704 nucleotides) under Anas platyrhynchos platyrhynchos (common mallard). RNAcentral describes it as "lncRNA (ENSAPLG00000030466.1)". Lineage: Eukaryota; Metazoa; Chordata; Aves; Anseriformes; Anatidae. The record is from RNAcentral.